Molecule: non-coding RNA, 211 nt
Organism: Oryza glumipatula
Lineage: Eukaryota; Viridiplantae; Streptophyta; Magnoliopsida; Poales; Poaceae
Source: Rfam
ACACAGUUUUAUACUAUUCAUUCAUAUCCAACGUUUAACUGUUCGUCUUAUUUAAAAUCUUUUUAUGAUUAGUAUUUUUAUUGUUAUUAGUAUAUGAUAAAACAUAAAAAAAUACUUUAUAUGUCACUAAUUUUUUUUAUUUUUUCCAUAAACUUUUCAAAUAAGACGGACGGUUAAAUGUUAGACAUGGAUUCUCACGAUCACGCUUAUU